AAGGAAAGGAGGGGAGCAAUCCAUCUCCCCUCUCUUAGUAAUUCUGAUAUAGCUAAAGCUCUGAGCAACAGCCAGGAGCUCUCUGAAGCUCUGUAGCUACCACUGCAAUGACAAAAAAAAAAUUAACCUUCUCCUGAGGGAAUGUUUGAUUCUGGCCAAAGGGGGGAGCAGCUGCUUCAUCAUCCACUGUGACUGCACUUCCUCAUUCCAACAUCGUAAAUUAGUUAAAUUUUUCCUCCCCACUUUACAAGUGGUACCUUAUUUCCUACUUGAUAGAUGCAACUAUCUUUUGGGUUGCUAGGUCAGCAACGAGCAGGGGCUAUUUUUUUUAAUUGAUGGGUGCUCACCCCACCACGGGCUGACCUCGAACUCAUGACCUCAUGGUCAGAGUGUUUUAUUGCAGCAGGCUGCUCACCAGCCUGUGCCACAGCCUGGCCUAUGUCCUUUUCCUCCAACUGGAUUGGGGACCCAUUGCAAAACCAGCUAAAAUUGUGACAAAAUUAGUUUUGGAAUAUAUAUAUAUACAGUAGAGUCUCACUUAUCCAAGCUAAACGGGCCGGCAGAACAUUGGAUAAGCGAAUAUCUUGGAUAAUAAGGAGGGAUUAAGGAAAAGCCUAUUAAACAUCAAAUUAGGUUAUGAUUUUACAAAUUAAGCACCAUUAAACAUCAUGUUAUACAACAAAUUAGACAGAAAAAGUAGUUCAAUACGCAGUAAUGUUAUGUUGUAAUUACUGUAUUUACGAAUUUAGCACCAAAAUAUCAUGAUAUUUUGAAAACAUUGACUACAAAAAUGCCUUGGAUUAUCCAGAAGCUUGGAUAAGCGAGGCUUGGAUAAGUGAGACUCUACUGUAGUUGUAAGUUCAGGAUGAAAUUCAGUUAGUUAAUAUCCCAGAAGACAUAAUCAGAAUUCAAAAUGACCCUUAGCAAACCGGGGAGCUGGACCAAAACUAAUAAUAAAAUUCCAAGAGGAAGAAAUGCAAAGUACUAUAUAUAAGCAGAAAAAAAUGAAACAAAGAAAAAAAAUGCACAAAUCUGUUGCGCAUAAGCAGAUAUCAUCCAGGUCCAAUCCAAAACACACAAACAAGAGGAAAAAGAACAUAAAUCUUUACUCUUGUCAGCAGAGAUACAAAAUCAAAUAGCUCAGCAAACUUACAUAGUUCUUGUAAGCAGCACAGAGUAAGGCUUCUUCAUCCAAAAGAGUCGAACAUAAAACAAAUAGCUAUUCCAUCAUAGCAAAGAGCAUUGCUGUUAAGCCAUUGUUAAUUCAGCAUUUCCAACCGUAUUCUAACAUCCAUACAGUUAUACCCCACCGGGUGUGGUCCAAACUUGCCUGCUGACCUACUCAUAAUAAUUAACAUAAUAAGGUUGUCUUUAACACACACAUAUACUUGAUCCUGUUACUACUUACUGUAACAAAAUCUAGGAUGGGUGACAACUGGCUUGACAACAGUACAUAUGGAAGAGAUCUAAGAGUUUUAGGAAACAUAACGCUGAACAUAAGGUAAUGGAGAAGAUAGACAACCAUUGUGAUUUUAGGUUGACUCAAUGGGAGUAUAGUGUCUACAUCAAGGGAAGUAAUACUAACACUUUAUUCUGCUGUGCUCAAACCUCAGUACAGUAUUAUCACGCAGAAUAUCAAGGCAGAAAAUGCACAAUCUUUGCUUUGAACUGCAUUAUCUGAGUCCACACUGCCAUAUAAUCCAGUUCAAUGUGGAUUUUAUACAGGUGUGGAAGGGGCCUCACCUGCAUUUGAAAAAGGAUAUUGAUACAUUGGAAUGUACCCAGAGGAGGGUGACUAAAAUGAUUAAAAACCCUGAAAACCAUGCUCUAUGAAGAACAGCUUAGGGGCUGGCUAUGUUUAUCUUGGAGAAGUGAAGGUUAAGAGGCAACAUGAUAGCCAAGUUUGAAUGUUUGAAAAAAUGUAAUAUUGAAGAUGGAACAAAUUUUGGGGUUGUUGUAUGUCUUUCGGGCUGUGUGGCCAUGUUCCAGAAGUAUUCUCUCCUGACGUUUCGCCCACAUCUAUGGCAGGCAUCCUCAGAGGUUGUGAGGUAUGGAUAAACUAAGUAAGGAAAGGAAAGAAAAUAUAUCUGUGUAGAGUCCAGAGUGUGGCAAGAGUCCUUUGUCACUGGGAAGCUAGCAUUAAUGGAUGCCCCCAGGCAAGAGACAAAAACCUUUCCAAUGCUAAUUAGGGUGAUUAACUGAAACAUUAAUGCUGGCUUCCCAGUGACAAAGGACUCUUGCCACACCCUGGACUUUUGGCCUUCAAUUCCCAGAAAUCGUAACAGCUGGUAAACUGGCUGGGAUUUCUGGGAGUUGUAGGUCAAAACCCCUGGGGACCCACAGAUUGAAAACCACUGACUAAGAGUUUAUCUAGUAAGAGCUCUUUGAAUAAGCUUCUUUGAAUAAACUUCUUCACAGUAUUGUGAGGUCUCUUUCUUUGGAGAUUUUUAAACAGGGGCUGAUCACAUUGCAUGUUCAGAAAAUAUUAUUCAGUGUAUUGAUAAUAUGAGGCAAAGUACACAUGGGAUGCUUAAUUUCCAACAUGUGAAUGAUUCAUGAGUAAGACACUGGAAUCUGUGAAAUGAUCCACACAAAAAACAGUUAAGCCUUGGAAUCUAAAGUUAUAAGAAGAAUUUCUGAAGGGAUCUCACAGUUGUAUAUACUUCACUGAUGUCUUUUUAAUUCUCUCUCACUCCCCCCUCAACAAAUACACACUGUUAUGAAGAAACCGUUAUCAGUGAGUGGGCUGAAGGAAAAUGGCUCAUUAAAAAUCCAAACGAACACAGCUACAUACUGUUAGACUAAUGAAGCUAAUGUACUGAGAAAUAUUCACAAAGAUAUAAGCAUUCAUGCAGAUGUUGGAGAAUUCCAGGGGUCUUCUCCUGCUGACCCAACAAAGGAAGGCACCGGGAGAGGCAGGGACAGCCUAAGGAGCAACCAGUAUAUUUGUAAACUGUUGGAUUUUUGGUUGUGUGUAUAUGAAAUGUAAAUCAAGUGUUUCUGAUGUUUUCCAAGUGUGUGUUUCAGCAAUGAAACAGUUAACAGCAGGCCAGUUUGCCUGACAGCCUGCUGUGACCUAUGAGACAUGAUUUUCGGCCUUGGAGUCUUCGGACUAAGGAAUGUGCUUUCUUAUUUCUGUUUAGCUGCUUUUUGCCAUGCCGAGAAGCAAAAGAAAAAUGCCAGCUUCGAGUGAUGGCUUUUGCUGCGUUUGUAAAUAUGAUUUGUAAAUACUGAAUAAAUGUUUGGACUUCAGACUGCAGAUGUCUUUGAGUCUGACAUUGGAGAGGAAUUGGUGAGGGCAGAAGGUUCACCAAUUCGUCAGGGUGCUCAUCUGGAGAAGAUGAUCGAUGGUGUUUGAAGAAACCCACCCAACACGCACCCUGAACCCUGGCUCUGCAUUAUGACAUAUACCCCAUAAUACCUUCAGAAUAUUAGAACAGCAUUAGGGAAAAUAUAGUCUUCCAUAUGUUGUUGGAUUACAGAUACGGUGAUCUCUCCCCAUUGGCAAUGCUGGCCAGGGUUCAUAGGAGUUGGAGACCAAAAGCACUUGGUAAGCUACACCUUUCCUACACCAUUGUUAGAUGGAUGAGCAUAGACAUUAUUGGAAGGAUUAGCAGGCCAUCUUAAUGAUCAAGGCAGAGAAAUUGGGUGACCACCACAGAGAAACUCCCCUCCAGUAAAUUUAAUUAAUUUGCAAUCUGUUUCUUAACUUGCCUGGUUUCUAAUUAAAACAUUAUAGAGUGCAAUAUUUUAUCAUUAGAGCCUGUUCCCAUUACCACAACUACAUAUUUUGGAAUGUUGGUCUCUUGCUAUUACAUUUCAUGUAUUUAUUUAUGGAAUUUAUACCCUGCUUUUCUCAUGGGAUGGAACUCAAAGAAGCUACUGAAAGUUUAAAACAAGAUUAAGUUAAAUCCUUAUUUUACAUGUUAAAAAAGAAUUAAGGUAAAGGUAAAGGUUUCCCCUGACAUUAAGUCUAAUCAUGUCCGGCUCUAGGGGUUGCUGAUCAUCUCCAUUUCUAAGCCGAAGAGCCGCCGUUGUCCAUAGACACCUCCAAGAUCAUGUGGCCGGCAUGACUGCAUGGAGCGCCAUUACCUUCCUGCCGGAGCGGUAGUGCUGGAGUCUCCUGUUCACUCUUAACAAACAUGAAUAUUAAUUCAUUUAAGAAGAGAGACUGGAAAACAAGGGGAAGGAGAGAGAAGGAGUUACUAUAUUGCAGUCUGGUUUGGUAUAGAAGGAAGUCCAUGUGGGUAACACCAUGAGUUACUGCAUUGGGUGACACCGGCUAUGGUGACAUCACUGCCCAUGGCAUGAAAGCUGCAAAAUUCCAAAAGGGCUAAUAUGAAGCUUUUGAUGGAAGAACCUCAGGCCAAAAACAGGUGACCAUAUUCAACAUGGAAAAUCAACUGAAUCUUAAUCAAUGCAACAAAACAUGACAGUGUUUAUGACAUCUGAGAGCCAAAAACAAGUGACCAUAUUCAACAUGGAAAAUCAACUGAAUCUUAAUCAAUGCAACAAAACAUGACAGUGUUUAUGACAUCUGAGAGUCAUCAGUUAGACCAGAGCUUUCCAAACUGUGUAUUGCAACAUGUUAGUGGGUCAGCUGCAGUGUGUAGGUAUCAUAAGAACAUAAGAAGCAACCUCUGAGUCUAUGUGAAAUAAGCAAUAGCAAUUUGUAUGCAUUUUUAUACAACAAAGGGGCCGGACUGUGGCGCAGGCUGUUGAGCAGCUGCAAUAAAUCACUCUGACCAUGAGGACAUGAGUUCGAGGCCAGCCCAUGGCGGGGUGAGCACCCGUCAAUAAAAAAUAAAAAAUAACCCCUGCUCGUUGCUGACCUAGCAACCCGAAAGAUUGUUGCAUCUAUCAAGUAGGAAAUAAGGUACCACUUAUAAAAAAAAGUGGGGAGGCAAGGUUAACUAAUUUAUGACCUGGAAUGAGGAAGUGCAGUCAGAGUGGAUGAUGAAGCAGCUGCUCCCCCCGUGGCCAGAAUCGAACAUCCUCUCAGAAGAAGGUUAACUUGCCUCUGCGUCUGUCUCUGUCUCUGUUUGAUGUGUUUAUGGGCAUUGAAUGUUUGCCCUAUGUGUGUAUAAUGUGAUCCGCCCUGAGUCCCCUUCGGGGUGAGAAGGGCGGAAUAUAAAUACUGUAAAUAAAUAAAUAAAUAAAUAAAUAAAUA
This is a long non-coding RNA of Anolis carolinensis (green anole), 5170 nucleotides long. RefSeq lists it as uncharacterized. The record is from RefSeq and is a predicted model, not a curated record. The transcript has 4 exons. NCBI's taxonomy places the organism in Eukaryota, Metazoa, Chordata, Lepidosauria, Squamata, Anolidae.